UACAGAGGAGCCAAGCGUUGUCCGGAUUGACUGGGCGUAAAGCGCACGCAGGCGGAUGCGCGCGUGGGGUGUGAAAUCUGGCCGCUUAACGGCCAGGCGCCAUCCCAUACGGCGCGUCUGGAGUGAUGCAGAGGUCGAUGGAAUUGCCGGUGUAGUGGUGAAAUGCGUAGAGGUCGGCAGGAACACCCAGGGGGAAACCAGUCGACUGGGCAUCUACUGACGCUGAGGUGCGAGAGCGUGGGGAGCGAACCGG
Molecule: ribosomal RNA, 253 nt
Filed under: uncultured bacterium
Lineage: Bacteria
Description: partial 16S ribosomal RNA
Rfam family: Bacterial small subunit ribosomal RNA
Source: RNAcentral